Non-coding RNA from Podarcis lilfordi (Lilford's wall lizard), 71 nucleotides. The record is from the annotation of a GenBank genome assembly. Lineage: Eukaryota; Metazoa; Chordata; Lepidosauria; Squamata; Lacertidae.
GCCAGUGUGGUGCAGUGGUUAGAGUGUGGACUAGGACUUGAGAGGCCAGGGUUCAAAUCCCUGCUCUCCCA